Long non-coding RNA from Humulus lupulus (European hop), 960 nucleotides. RefSeq lists it as uncharacterized. The transcript has 6 exons. The record is from RefSeq and is a predicted model, not a curated record. Lineage: Eukaryota; Viridiplantae; Streptophyta; Magnoliopsida; Rosales; Cannabaceae.
CUACCCGAUCCACUUUCCUUUCUCCCUCUCUCUCUCUCGCAUGCUCUCUGCUAGCCCGAAUGGCUGCCCUCCGAUGGUCGCCGCCGUGUAGGCACCGGAUCAAGAGUACCAGACACCGCCGAAACUCCAGCCUCACGAGCUCUUCGUUGCCGUUCUCCGCCGCGAGCAGAAGCCUCCAGGCUCGUACGUCACCGCCGUGGCUUCAAGGCCAAUUUCUGGCCUCCUCUGACAUCGUCUCAGGCGAAGGGUACCAUGGGUGAACUCAGGGUAUCAAGACGAACAAAGCCCAUCCAAGGAUCGGGCUUUUAAGUGACCGAAGGAGACGGAAUCAGCUCUCCAUUUGCUGCUUGUAGUCUUCUUCUCGAGAGCUGAAAAUACGAGGAGUGUACUCAAUGGGAAUAGCUCAAAUAAUUAGACCAAGUUCUAAAUGUCAUGUUCAUCCACAUGAGAGGGGUAUAGUUGAUUUCCACCCUAUAUAUUUCCAUUCAAAUGAGGCUAGUGGAUCUAUGAAACCAAUUACUUAUGGUUCCAUAUAAUUAACGACAGUUGACCAAUCAAGAUUUAGAAGGACUCGAGUUACUGAGGGUGAUUCACCAAGUCUUCUGUGCAAGAUAUACGCAUCAACCUUGCAAUAUCUGCUGUCUUUGGUUUUGAUGAAUACAUGAAUUUGGUUCUUGAUGAUGCUGAAGAAGUCAAUGUCAAGAAUUUGGGGCUCGGUAGGGACGGUGGCUGGGCUGGGCUCGGGGCUGGCUGGUGGGGUUCUCAACUUCACGGCGGCGACACUAUAGCUCACGGCGGCAGCAAGUAUUUAUUUUAUUUCUUGAUUUUUUUAUGUUAAAAUAUGUUUCAUUUGAUUGUGUUGGAUAUGUUCAGAUCUGAUUUUGAGCCUAGACUAAUAAUGAAUAUCAUCUUUAGUGUAUUUUGCUUAUGCUUUAAUGGCUUUAUACUUGUGUUUCACUA